Paramuricea clavata is the source of this 79-nucleotide non-coding RNA. The record is from the annotation of a GenBank genome assembly. Lineage: Eukaryota; Metazoa; Cnidaria; Anthozoa; Malacalcyonacea; Plexauridae.
UGGGUUAAGGGGAGAACAUUGCAUAGUCAUUCAGUGACACUGUCACUGAAUGACUAUGCAAUGUUCUCCCCUGGGUUGG